UAGAUACCCUAUUAUUUUGUGGUAAGUGUUGUGUGGGUAGUAUUUGUUGUCUUCAUAAAACCCAAAGGAUUUGGCGGCGUUUUAGUCCCUUCAGAGGAACCUGUCCCGUAAUCGAUGUUCCACGUUAAUAUUACCUUCUCUUGUUUGUUUAGCUUAUAUACCGUCGUCUGUAAGGGGGUCUUUUUGAAAGUUAAAUCCCCUGUUCUUGUUACUGUGAGAUAUGUCAGAUCAAGGUGUAGCUUAUGGGGAGGGGGAGAUGGGUUACAAUAGUUGGUAUUUAUACGGAUUGCUUUUUCUCAGGAGCAUGAAGGUGGAUUUGAUUGUAAGAUUUGUCUGGCAAUUUUGAUUAGGGCCCUAGGACGUGUACAUAUC
This 372-nucleotide ribosomal RNA is filed under the name Lepidospora sp. WAM ZYGC001. RNAcentral describes it as "partial small subunit ribosomal RNA". It matches the Rfam family "Bacterial small subunit ribosomal RNA", at positions 874 to 1391 of the family's 1533-position model. Lineage: Eukaryota; Metazoa; Arthropoda; Insecta; Zygentoma; Nicoletiidae. The record is from RNAcentral.